GGCCGCCUGGCGAAAUGGCAUCGCGUCUGACUACGAAUCAAGAGAUUGCAGGUUCGACCCCUGCGGUGGUCA
RNAcentral lists this transfer RNA (72 nucleotides) under Trametes versicolor FP-101664 SS1. It matches the Rfam family "tRNA". From Rfam's summary of the family: Transfer RNA (tRNA) molecules are approximately 80 nucleotides in length. Their secondary structure includes four short double-helical elements and three loops (D, anti-codon, and T loops). Lineage: Eukaryota; Fungi; Basidiomycota; Agaricomycetes; Polyporales; Polyporaceae. The record is from Rfam by way of RNAcentral.